GGGCCUUUAGCUCAGUUGGUUAGAGCAGAGGACUCAUAAUCCUUUGGUCAUCGGUUCAAGUCCGAUAGGGCCCACCA
Molecule: transfer RNA, 77 nt
Filed under: Aquitalea sp. FJL05
Lineage: Bacteria; Pseudomonadati; Pseudomonadota; Betaproteobacteria; Neisseriales; Chromobacteriaceae
Also listed under: 6 other names
Description: tRNA-Met
Rfam family: tRNA
About the family: Transfer RNA (tRNA) molecules are approximately 80 nucleotides in length. Their secondary structure includes four short double-helical elements and three loops (D, anti-codon, and T loops).
Source: RNAcentral